Long non-coding RNA from Ictalurus furcatus (blue catfish), 910 nucleotides. RefSeq lists it as uncharacterized. The transcript is spliced from 3 exons. The record is from RefSeq and is a predicted model, not a curated record. NCBI's taxonomy places the organism in Eukaryota, Metazoa, Chordata, Actinopteri, Siluriformes, Ictaluridae.
UUUGGGAAAAAGGCACGCACCUCAUCAGUGGGGUUGUGACAGCCCUGAAACACCUAAAAGACAAAGCAUUUCAUUACACAAUUUGGGAUUCUGUAACACAAUUUUUCAGUUAAAGCCCAAAUGCUUUUGUCCAUAUUUUGUAGCUAACAACUAACCAACACUCUUUUGCUCUUUUACAGCUUUUCAAAUGUAAGGGAGUGGGACUCGUCUUCCCAGAUGGCAGGGAGAUUUGUAUUUUCCCCUUGGCUGAGUGCUGGAGCGAAGCACGACAGUCUUCGCCACACAGUCCUCGUGCACAUCGCCACACAUCGGCGCCAUGACACUCUAAUGAUAUUGGGAUGGCUGCUGGUGUACAAGAAUAGAUGAAUCCAACGGGAGUGAAGGCUCCGCCCCCUGGAUGUAACUGCAGACGGCUGAGACCCUCACCACCCAAUCGCACUUCAACACACACACACCCACACACGCGCAUCCACACUCCCCUCACCGACCAUCUUAAAUAAAGAUCCCUCCACGAACAACACUAAAAAGGCCUCCUGUGUGUCUGUGCUCUGCCCACCGUGGGCUAAAUUCCCUACACCGUCUAUACAUUAACUAGACCCGAGGAGCAAAACAUGAAAACAAACAUGUAACCUACAAUACUGCGUGAAGUGCUCAGCAACACGAGGGCUUUAAAUAACUAAAGACAUUUACCUUAAAUGCCUACAGCUGGUAACAAUUGAACAAACACCUUCGCACCUCCGCCAAUAACUAAACAGGGAGGGGACAGAACAAAAACCAAAACAAGUGCACAUGUCCACUGUAAACAAAGUCCUAUCAAUCAUUGCGCACUUAAAACACGUGCACACGCGCUCUCCAUGCAUGUCGUCGCCGCAGUUCCAUCUGCCGGCGAGAUCGUGACAGAACCCUCCUC